GAUGAACGCUAGCGGGAGGCUUAAUACAUGCAAGUCGAGGGGUAGAUAUCUUUCGGGAUAUUGAGACCGGCGAACGGGUGCGUAACGCGUAUGCAACUUGCCUUACACUGGGGGAUAGCCCGGAGAAAUCCGGAUUAAUACCCCAUAAUAUUAUCGAAUCGCCUGUUUUGAUAAUUAAAGAUUUAUUGGUGUAAGAUGGGCAUGCGUCUGAUUAGCUAGUUGGUAAGGUAACGGCUUACCAAGGCGACGAUCAGUAGCGGGUCUGAGAGGAUGAUCCGCCACACUGGUACUGAGACACGGACCAGACUCCUACGGGAGCAGCAGUAGGGAAUAUUGGACAAUGGGCGAGAGCCUGACUCCAGCCAUCCCGCGUGCAGAAAGAC
RNAcentral lists this ribosomal RNA (383 nucleotides) under uncultured bacterium. RNAcentral describes it as "bacterial SSU rRNA". It matches the Rfam family "Bacterial small subunit ribosomal RNA", at positions 28 to 412 of the family's 1533-position model. The record is from RNAcentral.